CGCGUAGGCGGUCUCUUAAGUCAGAUGUGAAAGCCCGGGGCUUAACCUCGGAAGUGCAUUUGAAACUAAGGGACUUGAGUAUGGGAGAGGGAAGUGGAAUUCCUGGUGUAGCGGUGAAAUGCGUAGAUAUCAGGAGGAACACCGGUGGCGAAGGCGACUUCCUGGACCAAUACUGACGCUGAGGCGCGAAGGCGUGAGGAGCAAACAGGAUUAGAUACCCUGGUAGUCC
Molecule: ribosomal RNA, 229 nt
Filed under: uncultured bacterium
Lineage: Bacteria
Description: partial 16S ribosomal RNA
Rfam family: Bacterial small subunit ribosomal RNA
Source: RNAcentral